UUACGGCCACAUCACCAUGAAACACUAAUUCCUGUACGAUCACCGAAAUUAAGCAACGUCGUGCCUCAUCAGUAACUAAAUGGGUGACCGCCUGGGAAUACCAGU
Molecule: non-coding RNA, 105 nt
Organism: Acanthosepion pharaonis
Lineage: Eukaryota; Metazoa; Mollusca; Cephalopoda; Sepiida; Sepiidae
Source: the annotation of a GenBank genome assembly